GAUGAACGCUCGUGGCGUGCCUAAUACAUGCAAGUCGAGCGAACAGACGAGGAGCUUGCUCCUUUGACGUUAGCGGCGGACGGGUGAGUAACACGUGGGUAACCUACCUAUAAGACUGGGAUAACUUCGGGAAACCGGAGCUAAUACCGGAUAAUAUUUCGAACCGCAUGGUUCGAUAGUGAAAGAUGGCUUUGCUAUCACUUAUAGAUGGACCUGCGCCGUAUUAGCUAGUUGGUAAGGUAACGGCUUACCAAGGCAACGAUACGUAGCCGACCUGAGAGGGUGAUCGGCCACACUGGAACUGAGACACGGUCCAGACUCCUACGGGAGGCAGCAGUAGGGAAUCUUCCGCAAUGGGCGAAAGCCUGACGGAGCAACGCCGCGUGAGUGAUGAAGGUCUUCGGAUCGUAAAACUCUGUUAUUAGGGAAGAACAAACGUGUAAGUAACUGUGCACGUCUUGACGGUACCUAAUCAGAAAGCCACGGCUAACUACGUGCCAGCAGCCGCGGUAAUACGUAGGUGGCAAGCGUUAUCCGGAAUUAUUGGGCGUAAAGCGCGCGUAGGCGGUUUUUUAAGUCUGAUGUGAAAGCCCACGGCUCAACCGUGGAGGGUCAUUGGAAACUGGAAAACUUGAGUGCAGAAGAGGAAAGUGGAAUUCCAUGUGUAGCGGUGAAAUGCGCAGAGAUAUGGAGGAACACCAGUGGCGAAGGCGACUUUCUGGUCUGUAACUGACGCUGAUGUGCGAAAGCGUGGGGAUCAAACAGGAUUAGAUACCCUGGUAGUCCACGCCGUAAACGAUGAGUGCUAAGUGUUAGGGGGUUUCCGCCCCUUAGUGCUGCAGCUAACGCAUUAAGCACUCCGCCUGGGGAGUACGACCGCAAGGUUGAAACUCAAAGGGAUUGACGGGGACCCGCACAAGCGGUGGAGCAUGUGGUUUAAUUCGAAGCAACGCGAAGAACCUUACCAAAUCUUGACAUCCUUUGACCCUUCUAGAGAUAGAAGUUUCCCCUUCGGGGGACAAAGUGACAGGUGGUGCAUGGUUGUCGUCAGCUCGUGUCGUGAGAUGUUGGGUUAAGUCCCGCAACGAGCGCAACCCUUAAGCUUAGUUGCCAUCAUUAAGUUGGGCACUCUAAGUUGACUGCCGGUGACAAACCGGAGGAAGGUGGGGAUGACGUCAAAUCAUCAUGCCCCUUAUGAUUUGGGCUACACACGUGCUACAAUGGACAAUACAAAGGGCAGCGAAACCGCGAGGUCAAGCAAAUCCCAUAAAGUCGUUCUCAGUUCGGAUUGUAGUCUGCAACUCGACUACAUGAAGCUGGAAUCGCUAGUAAUCGUAGACCAGCAUGCUACGGUGAAUACGUUCCCGGGUCU
Molecule: ribosomal RNA, 1372 nt
Filed under: uncultured bacterium
Lineage: Bacteria
Description: bacterial SSU rRNA
Rfam family: Bacterial small subunit ribosomal RNA
Source: RNAcentral